Pelobates cultripes (western spadefoot toad) is the source of this 1442-nucleotide non-coding RNA. Lineage: Eukaryota; Metazoa; Chordata; Amphibia; Anura; Pelobatidae. The record is from the annotation of a GenBank genome assembly.
CUUCAAGGUACUAAUGAGAUGGUAUUUAGUGCCCGAUAGGUUGAGUAAAAUAUAUCCAACGGCUGCUCCUACAUGCUGGAGGUGCAAUAGUGGUAGGGGCACAAUAUUACAUAUUUUCUGGGAAUGCCCACACCUGGAUACUUUUUGGAAAUAUGUGCAGAACGUCAUACACACCAUCUCCGGGCUACAACUCUCCCUACGUCCUGAUUUCUACUUGCUCCAUUUAAUACCGAACGCACACCAACUACCCUCAACGGCAGCUGUAAUUAAUACUCUGAUUGCGGCAAAAUUAUGUAUUGCGUCUCAUUGGAAGAGUGACUUUAUCCCAUCAGCAAAAGAACUGCUAAACAGAAUAAACACCACAUACUGCUAUGAAAAGGAAUGGGCCAUAAAAGGGAACAUGACCAAAUUUAACAAACAAUGGAAAGGUUGGGAAACCACGUACAAACACCGCAUCGACUCGGGAUAAAUUCCGUCUCUAGAAUGGAGUGAACUCUCAGACGUCAUUUAAGGUCGCUCGGAUGUGAGGGUCUCAGGUCUCAGGCCUCAAGUCUCUUGCCUCUUGUUUCCUAUCUUCAAUGACCUAACUUCUCUCUCGUUCCUCCCCUUUCUCCCCCUCUCCUUUCUCUACUCUCUCCUUGCUCCCACUGUACUUCCUCCUCGCCUCCCCCACCCUCUUUCCCUUUGCAUCUCACUCUUGUUCAUUAUCUCCCCUCUACCUCUUAUACAUCAACUCCUCAAACACUCCAAAAUGACUAAUCUAAAGGGCCAUCGUCUAAGCAAAUGCACAAUGGAAAGCACGGCUCUAUGGCUGGACUGACUGUCCUCACGCAAUAUAUGACACUCACCAGAAUGUACCAGUAGGCAAUAUUCCAGUCAAACUAUUUGAAUCUAAACAUGGUAUGUCUGUAGACAAAUCCCCUAUCAGUGGCUCCCUCCCACCUUCUUUAUAACCACAAGGCCAUUAUUAACGCAUGUUGUACCAGGUACAGUAAACUAAGCACUACUCUGACCUCUCCAUGGCUUCUGACCUGAUCUAUUAACACCCCAGCAUACAGACGCUACUAUACCGUCAAUAGGAGAAUCACACGUUCUCGAGUAAGAACCAUUAAUAAUAACAUUAAUCAACGGUCCCUCUAGCACCUGUACCUCAACUCAAUCUAGCGUCACAGGACCUUACAGGUGAUAUAUGCCAUUCUGAAUAUGCCCCAGCAUGUUGGAUCAGUCUAUUCCAUUCCACUCUAGACCUGCCAUGUCCUAAUCAUUGCUGUAAAACCCGAAGACGCUACGAUGUUCUCUGUAUGUAGACUAUAUACACUUGUUUGAAUAUUAUGUACACUUACAUUAAAUUACUGUACGGUUAUUAUAUUAAGAACUCUGGCAGCAUAAUGCUUGCUCGUAUGUACAACCCACCAUGUAAACGUUUCUGUAUUGAGUGAAAU